UUGAACGCUGGCGGCAUGCCUUACACAUGCAAGUCGCACGGUAACGGGCCUUCGGGUGCCGACGAGUGGCGAACGGGUGAGUAAUACAUCGGAACGUGCCCGAUCGUGGGGGAUAACGAGGCGAAAGCUUUGCUAAUACCGCAUACGAUCUACGGAUGAAAGCAGGGGACCGCAAGGCCUUGCGCGGACGGAGCGGCCGAUGGCAGAUUAGGUAGUUGGUGGGAUAAAAGCUUACCAAGCCGACGAUCUGUAGCUGGUCUGAGAGGAUGAUCAGCCACACUGGGACUGAGACACGGCCCAGACUCCUACGGGAGGCAGCAGUGGGGAAUUUUGGACAAUGGGCGCAAGCCUGAUCCAGCCAUGCCGCGUGCAGGAUGAAGGCCUUCGGGCUGUAAACUGCUUUUGUACGGAACGAAAAGCCUUCUUUUAAUACAGGAGGGUCAUGACGGUACCGUAAGAAUAAGCACCGGCUAACUACGUG
RNAcentral lists this ribosomal RNA (481 nucleotides) under uncultured bacterium. RNAcentral's name for it is "partial 16S ribosomal RNA". It matches the Rfam family "Bacterial small subunit ribosomal RNA", at positions 30 to 507 of the family's 1533-position model. The record is from RNAcentral.